RNAcentral lists this ribosomal RNA (254 nucleotides) under uncultured bacterium. RNAcentral's name for it is "partial 16S ribosomal RNA". It matches the Rfam family "Bacterial small subunit ribosomal RNA", at positions 526 to 779 of the family's 1533-position model. The record is from RNAcentral.
CGGAGGGGGCUAGCGUUAUUCGGAAUUACUGGGCGUAAAGCGCACGUAGGCGGAUCGGGAAGUCAGAGGUGAAAUCCCAGGGCUCAACCCUGGAACGGCCUUUGAAACUCCCGGUCUUGAGGUCGAGAGAGGUGAGUGGAAUUCCGAGUGUAGAGGUGAAAUUCGUAGAUAUUCGGAGGAACACCAGUGGCGAAGGCGGCUCACUGGCUCGAUACUGACGCUGAGGUGCGAAAGCGUGGGGAGCAAACAGGAUU